UACGUAGGGGGCAAGCGUUGUCCGGAAUCAUUGGGCGUAAAGCGCGCGUAGGCGGCCAGAUUAGUCCGGUGUGAAAGUCAGAGGCUCAACCUUUGAAUGCCGCUGGAAACUGUCUGGCUUGAGUCCGGAAGGGGCGAGUGGAAUUCCUGGUGUAGCGGUGAAAUGCGCAGAUAUCGGGAGGAACGCCGGUGGCGAAAGCGACUGUCUGGGGUGCCUGUGACGCUGAGGCGCGAAAGCCAGGGGAUCAAACGGG
Molecule: ribosomal RNA, 253 nt
Filed under: uncultured bacterium
Lineage: Bacteria
Description: partial 16S ribosomal RNA
Rfam family: Bacterial small subunit ribosomal RNA
Source: RNAcentral